UGGGGAAUAUUGCACAAUGGGCGCAAGCCUGAUGCAGCCAUGCCGCGUGUAUGAAGAAGGCCUUCGGGUUGUAAAGUACUUUCAGCGGGGAGGAAGGUGUUGAGGUUAAUAACCUCAGCAAUUGACGUUACCCGCAGAAGAAGCACCGGCUAACUCCGUGCCAGCAGCCGCGGUAAUACGGAGGGUGCAAGCGUUAAUCGGAAUUACUGGGCGUAAAGCGCACGCAGGCGGUCUGUCAAGUCGGAUGUGACAUCCCCGGGCUCAACCUGGGAACUGCAUUCGAAACUGGCAGGCUAGAGUCUUGUAGAGGGGGGUAGAAUUCCAGGUGUAGCGGUGAAAUGCGUAGAGAUCUGGAGGAAUACCGGUGGCGAAGGCGGCCCCCUGGACAAAGACUGACGCUCAGGUGCGAAAGCGUGGGGAGCAAACA
Molecule: ribosomal RNA, 427 nt
Filed under: uncultured bacterium
Lineage: Bacteria
Description: partial 16S ribosomal RNA
Rfam family: Bacterial small subunit ribosomal RNA
Source: RNAcentral